CAUCCGGGGCACAUUUUGCACACUUCCUCAGAGCACGCUUGCAGCAGUCCGACCAGUUAGACUGGAAAUAUUUGUAUUUAACAUGUUUAAAAAUGUAUUUGCAUGCGUAUUUUCCAGUCGUUAUUAUACAUGAUGUAAGAUUGAAAAAAUAUUUCUCCUAAUAUGAUAAAGUAUAAUGGCGCAUGCUGGAGCCGUGGGAGUAGGCCGCAUCGGCGUGGAAACAUGGGAGGGCAGAUAAUAAAUGGAUGCGUGCAGUGUGUUUGAGGUGAUUGCACACACACGUGGACAGAAGGGUGGUGGCAAAGACACUGGUCUUGGUGUUGAUGGAUCCCUGCGAGAGCAAUACACAAUCGACCUGCGGUGCUCAAGAAAUGGACAAGCUACGGUAAAUUAUAAGGUGACGCCAGGACUUGUGAAUUAACAUUUGUUUUCCCUAUACGUGCAUAUUCCAACCAGAAGACUUAAAAAUGUAUUGUUAAACAGUGAGUGUAAUGUCCUGUGUGAAUAAAGCCUUUUUUCAAGAAGCACAGUGUUGUUUUGUUCAUUUCAUUUUGCUGUGUAGGUUUGAUUUUUAGGCACUGUACUUGCAACCUGAACGGCCUUUUCCAUGGCCACUCACACAGGUCAAGAGAGGUGCGAGAUCAUAUCAUGUCUUGUUAUAACUGGGGUUUCUUGGCCAUUUUCCCAAGUCUCUCUUUUAAAGCAAGACACAGAAUCUGAAUGCAUGUCAGAGCAAUAACUGCACAGACAAGAGGAGCAUUUUGAAUAAGCAUGCAGUGCUGUUGAGAGUAAGUCCCUGUUGACUGACACUGUAUUCUAACUACAUGUGAAUAUUGAAAGAAUCAGUAUAGUCUGUCAGUAUAGUCUGUCUGUGAAAAUCUAUUCUAUAUUGAUUUAUUGGCCAAUAUUUAACAUAAGGGAAGCUGAAAAUGUUAGUCCAAUCCACAAGUCUGCUGCCAGAAUAUUACUCUGCAACUAUAUGGAUAAUCUGUCUUAUUUUUCCUGGCAAAAAUCCCAAACUGACAGGUAAGAGCAUUGUUAAUGUUAGAAUUUGCUGGUUUUGUUUACUUGAUUCACGCUUGUCACUUGUACUGCCAUAUUUUGACAUUUUUACUUUGUGUAUAAGUGAAGAAAUGAAAGGAGGAUGAAGUACAAUAGUAAUAAAGGAUUAAAAUUU
Epinephelus fuscoguttatus (brown-marbled grouper) is the source of this 1177-nucleotide long non-coding RNA. RefSeq lists it as uncharacterized. The transcript has 4 exons. Lineage: Eukaryota; Metazoa; Chordata; Actinopteri; Perciformes; Serranidae. The record is from RefSeq and is a predicted model, not a curated record.